This 468-nucleotide ribosomal RNA is filed under the name uncultured bacterium. Its description in RNAcentral is "partial 16S ribosomal RNA". It matches the Rfam family "Bacterial small subunit ribosomal RNA", at positions 28 to 507 of the family's 1533-position model. The record is from RNAcentral.
AACGAACGCUGGCGGCGUGCCUAACACAUGCAAGUCGAACGGAAAGGCCCUGCUUUUGUGGGGUGCUCGAGUGGCGAAGGGGUGAGUUACCCGUGAGUAACCUGUCCUUGACUUUGAGAUAACUUCAGGCAACCGGGGCUAAUACCGGAUAGGAGCUCCUGAAGCAGGGUGGGCGUUGGACAGUUUAGGCUGUUGGGGGUGUACUCGCGGCUCAUCAGCUUGUUGGUUGGGUAGUGGCAUAGCAAGGCCUUGACGGGUAGUCGGCCUGGGAGGGGAAGCCGCCACAUUACGACUGAGAUACGGCACAGACUCCUACGGGAGGCAACGGUGGAGAGGAUUGUACAAUGGGCGGGAGCCUGAUGCGACAACGCCGCGUGCGGGAUGACGGCCAUCGGGUUGUGAAGCGCAGUCGCUUGUGACGGAGCGUGAGUGACGGUAACAGCAGAAGAAGCACCGGCUAACUACGUG